GACGGAGGGAGCAAGCGUUGUUCGGAUUUACUGGGCGUAAAGGGCGUCUAGGCGGGCCAGCAAGUCAGAUGUGAAAUCCCCCGGCUCAACCGGGGAGCUGCAUUUGAUACUGCUAGUCUUGAGUACGGAAGAGGGAGGCGGAAUUCCUGGUGUAGCGGUGAAAUGCGUAGAUAUCAGGAAGAACACCGGUGGCGAAGGCGGCCUCCUGGUCCGAUACUGACGCUAAAGCGCGAAAGUGUGGGGAGCAAACAGG
Molecule: ribosomal RNA, 253 nt
Filed under: uncultured bacterium
Lineage: Bacteria
Description: partial 16S ribosomal RNA
Rfam family: Bacterial small subunit ribosomal RNA
Source: RNAcentral